CCUACGGGAGGCUGCAGUGAGGAAUAUUGGUCAAUGGUCGGGAGACUGAACCAGCCAAGCCGCGUGAGGGAUGAAGGUACAGAGUAUCGUAAACCUCUUUUGUCAGGGAACAAAGGCGGGGACGCGUCCCCCGAUGAGUGUACCUGAAGAAAAAGCAUCGGCUAGCUCCGUGCCAUCAGCCGCGGUAAUACGGAGGAUGCGAGCGUUAUCCGGAUUUCGUGGGUUAAAAGGGUGCGCAGGGGGUCGGGUAAGUCAGCGGUAAAAGCCCGGGGCGAAACCCCGGCCCGCCGUUGAAACUGGCAGUCUCGAGUGGGAGAGAGGUAUGUGGAAUGCGCGGUGUAGCGGUGAAAUGCAUAGAUAUCGCGCAGAACUCCGAUUGCGAAGGCAGCAUGCCGGCUCCACACUGACGCUGAGGCACGAAAGCGUGGGUAUCGAACAGGAUUAGAUACCCUUGUAGUC
This 459-nucleotide ribosomal RNA is filed under the name uncultured bacterium. RNAcentral describes it as "partial 16S ribosomal RNA". It matches the Rfam family "Bacterial small subunit ribosomal RNA", at positions 338 to 795 of the family's 1533-position model. The record is from RNAcentral.